UACGGAGGGUGCGAGCGUUAUCCGGAAUCACUGGGUUUAAAGGGUGCGUAGGCGGUUAUAUAAGUCAGUGGUGAAAGGCCGUCGCUUAACGAUGGGACUGCCAUUGAUACUGUAUAACUUGAGAGAGGUUGAGGUUGGCGGAAUGUGGCAUGUAGCGGUGAAAUGCUUAGAUAUGCCAUAGAACACCAAUUGCGAAGGCAGCUGACUAGACCUCAUCUGACGCUGAGGCACGAAAGCGUGGGGAGCGAACAGG
RNAcentral lists this ribosomal RNA (253 nucleotides) under uncultured bacterium. RNAcentral describes it as "partial 16S ribosomal RNA". It matches the Rfam family "Bacterial small subunit ribosomal RNA", at positions 524 to 776 of the family's 1533-position model. The record is from RNAcentral.